CCUACGGGGGGCAGCAGUGAGGAAUAUUGGUCAAUGGUCGGGAGACUGAACCAGCCAAGCCGCGUGAGGGAUGAAGGUACAGAGUAUCGUAAACCUCUUUUGUCAGGGAACAAAGGCGGGGACGUGUCCCCGGAUGAGUGUACCUGAAGAAAAAGCAUCGGCUAACUCCGUGCCAGCAGCCGCGGUAAUACGGAGGAUGCGAGCGUUAUCCGGAUUUAUUGGGUUUAAAGGGUGCGCAGGCGGUCUGUUAAGUCAGCGGUCAAAGCCCGGGGCUCAACCCCGGCCCGCCGUUGAAACUGGCAGUCGCGAGUUGGAGAGAGGUAUGCGGAAUGCGCGGUGUAGCGGUGAAAUGCAUAGAUAUCGCGCAGAACUCCGAUUGCGAAGGCAGCAUGCCGGCUCCACACUGACGCUGAGGCACGAAAGCGUGGGUAUCGAACAGGAUUAGAUACCCUUGUAGUC
RNAcentral lists this ribosomal RNA (459 nucleotides) under uncultured bacterium. RNAcentral's name for it is "partial 16S ribosomal RNA". It matches the Rfam family "Bacterial small subunit ribosomal RNA", at positions 338 to 795 of the family's 1533-position model. The record is from RNAcentral.